AAAAAGGUGUUUUUCAACACCACCCAAAUAACAUUGAACUCUUUAU
The sequence is a regulatory RNA element, 46 nucleotides long. It matches the Rfam family "Histone 3' UTR stem-loop". Rfam says of the family: The mRNAs of metazoan histone genes lack a poly-A tail. The record is from Rfam.